UUUAAAUCCCUGUGGGCACUAUGU
This 24-nucleotide non-coding RNA is filed under the name Rattus norvegicus (Norway rat). The record is from RNAcentral. Lineage: Eukaryota; Metazoa; Chordata; Mammalia; Rodentia; Muridae.